Molecule: ribosomal RNA, 253 nt
Filed under: uncultured bacterium
Lineage: Bacteria
Description: partial 16S ribosomal RNA
Rfam family: Bacterial small subunit ribosomal RNA
Source: RNAcentral
UACGUAGGGUGCAAGCGUUAAUCGGAAUUACUGGGCGUAAAGCGUGCGCAGGCGGUGAUGUAAGACAGGUGUGAAAGCCCCGGGCUCAACCUGGGAAUUGCAUUCGAGACUGAAUAGCUAGGGUACGGUAGAGGGAAGCGGAAUUUCCGGUGUAGCGGUGAAAUGCGUAGAUAUCGGAAGGAACAUCAGUGGCGAAAGCGGCUUCCUGGACCAGUACCGACGUUCAGGCACGAAAGCGUGGGGAGCAAACAGG